GACCUAUUUGUUAAACCCAAGCCUGGGACGGAACCCCUCUUCCAAUUCCGGCCACCUAUGAUCGACGGAUCACCAGUGUUAGGACCAUCUCGACGUCAUGACUAAUCUUAUAUCUGAGGUUUCCACCGACGAGCUCCGACGAAGCCGAUUCGAAACCGAGAAGUUUCUGCGGUUUUCUUGAGUUUUCCGGCGACUAUGGUGGCCGAUGACGACAUGCAAGAAUUGGAGUUUUGGAUGCAAAGCAUGUUGAUCAUCGUCCAGGCUCUGGGAAGAUAGAGUCACUGUUGCCUUCGUUUCAUUAUUCAAACCAAUAUCAGCUUGAUAGAAUUUGGAUGCAGAAACGCAAGCAAGUAUGCACAA
RNAcentral lists this long non-coding RNA (360 nucleotides) under Rosa chinensis. RNAcentral's name for it is "sRNA RchiOBHm_Chr7g0238611". The record is from RNAcentral. Lineage: Eukaryota; Viridiplantae; Streptophyta; Magnoliopsida; Rosales; Rosaceae.